Chionomys nivalis (European snow vole) is the source of this 423-nucleotide non-coding RNA. NCBI's taxonomy places the organism in Eukaryota, Metazoa, Chordata, Mammalia, Rodentia, Cricetidae. The record is from the annotation of a RefSeq genome assembly.
AUGGAGUGGAGCUGGAUCACUCUCUUCCUCAUGUCACUAACUACAGGUGUCCACUCCCAGGUUCAGCUGCAGCAGUCUGGGCCUGAGCUUGUGAGGCCUGGGACCUCAGUGAAAUUGUCCUGCAGGACCUCUGACGAUAUCACUGGUUACGAUAUUAACUGGGUGAAGCAGAGGCCUGGACAAGGCCUGGAGUGGAUUGGAUUUAUUUUUCCUGCAUUUGGUAAUACUAACUACAAUCAGAAGUUCCAGGGCAAGGCCACACUGACUGCAGACACAUCCUCCAACACAGCCUACAUGGAGCUCAGAAGCCUGACUUCUGAAGACUCUGCGAUCUAUUACUGUUCAAGAUAUAACUAUUUGCCAAAGACAACUUUCUUGUUCUUGCUGAUGCUGAUUCAUGAAAUUCAUAUUUUUCCAAGAUGA